UACGGAGGGGACUAGCGUUGUUCGGAAUUACUGGGCGUAAAGCGCGCGUAGGCGGCUUUGCAAGUCGGGUGUGAAAUCCCCAGGCUUAACCUGGGAACUGCAUUCGAGACUGCAUUGCUAGAGUAUGGGAGAGGGAAGUGGAAUUUCCGGUGUAGCGGUGAAAUGCGUAGAUAUCUGAAGGAACAUCAGUGGCGAAAGCGACUUCCUGGACGAAUACUGACGCUCAUGUGCGAAAGCGUGGGGAGCAAACAGG
This 253-nucleotide ribosomal RNA is filed under the name uncultured bacterium. RNAcentral's name for it is "partial 16S ribosomal RNA". It matches the Rfam family "Bacterial small subunit ribosomal RNA", at positions 524 to 776 of the family's 1533-position model. The record is from RNAcentral.